RNAcentral lists this transfer RNA (3544 nucleotides) under Sus scrofa (pig). RNAcentral's name for it is "lncRNA (ENSSSCG00000051930.1)". Lineage: Eukaryota; Metazoa; Chordata; Mammalia; Artiodactyla; Suidae. The record is from RNAcentral.
GCCCCAUCCUCCAAAUAAGGCUCCCAUGAUCUCUCUACAGUUGAUGUCUGCUUCAGGUUGAGUAGAUCAAACAUAUGGGCUUAAUACUUGGGUGUGAAAGGCUGAUCAUGUCAUCAUCCUAUAUAUAUAUAUAUAUAUAUAUAUAUAUAUAUAUAUAUAUAUAUAAAAUUUUGGAGUACAUUGAUGACUGAAAAAAUUUUUAAAUCAUAGGCCUGCUUGGCUAGGGUCACUGCUGAGGCAUGGGUUUGAUCCCUUGCCCAGUGCAGUGGGUUAAAGAUCUUGUGUUGCCACAGCUGUGGCUCAGAGUCGAUCCCUGGCCCCAGAAAUUCCAGAUGCUUUGGGUGCGGCCAAAGAAAAAAAAAAUCUUAGACCUGUUUUUUUAAGCCCCGAGUUACCUCCUGCACCAGCAGCUGAGAAAGUUCUCUGAUCAAAGAUUGAAUCCACAUCACAGCAGUGACAAUGCUGAAUCCUAGGCCACCAGGGAACUCCUCUCUUGAAUCUAUAAAUCUUUCAAAAACUCCCAAAUACACAGUUUCCAAAUGGAAAAGAGUAUGUAUUAUGAGAUGAAAUGGUGUAGGAGGUAGAAUUGUGUAAGCAUAAAUCAUGUGUAAUUCAGGAACUACUUGUUUUGUAUCUGAAAGGAAAUUUGAGUACAUUUUAAAGAAUGCUAUUUACAUACACUCAUAUAAAAAUCUUUGAAAUUUUCUUGAAGGUGUAGGGUAGAUGAAGUUUUAAGAGUUAGGGAUAAUCUAUUUUAUGCUUGAAUUUUAAACCCUUUUUCUUUAAAUCUGUUGGUUAGAUGCCUUGAAUUAAUCUGAGAGUUUUCAGAUUGUUACUUUUCAUACCCUUUGCAAUUCCCUUGGAGUUCUAAAUUAAAUAUGCUAAAAUGUAUGGGUAAUAUUCUUAACACCCAGGAAUUGUACUUGUCCCUGGCCAGGGAACUUCUGAAUGCCAUGGGUGGGCCAAAAAUAUAUAAAUAAAUGAAGUUUCCUCUGUUAAAGGAACAGUUUAUCAUAGAUGAUGACCUUAAUUAUAGUGUCUGAAUUAAGCAAUGGCAGAAAGGGGGGGGAAAUGGGAGAAUUGACAGAAAGCAACCGACACAGAUAAUCAUGGAAAAUCAGAUGCACAUUUGUCAAAGGAGGCUACAAGUUCUAUUCAAGCUCCAUUUAAUUAAAGAGAUCAUAUAUGUUGACAAAUGACCUCCUCCAAUGAUGUUGAAAAUAUUUCGUUCUUCUAGUAAUUCACAUGGUAACUUUUAUGCAUGUGUAAGAAAGGAUUCAAGAAAGCUAAUUUUUCCCAAUCUACUACAUAAAGUGGCAGGAAAAUGUGGUAGUUUAUAUACAAUUGUAAAAAUAAUAAGUACUAAUCAAAUUCCUCCAAAGCUGGUCAUAUAUAUAUAGCUACUCCUAAAUCAUUACAGAUAGUUCUUUUGUUCUAAGAUUAGAAAUUUACCUGAUUGUCAAAACCAAAUUACAAAUGUGUUCUUAGACUCUAGACUCUUGAGGGGAUGGCAGGUAGAAGACAUGCGAAUGUUUGAUUUAAUUGAACUCAAAAUUGCCGUCUAACAAGAUCUUUAUUAUUUCACUUUCCUUGGCAACUUGGAAUCAGAGCUUUGAUUCUUCUUGUCAAAACUUGGGAGAGGAGUUCCCAUUGUGGUGCAGUGGGUAAGGAUCCAGCUUGUCGCUUUGGAGGCUCUAGUUCCAUCCCUGGCUCAGCUCAGCAGGUGAAGGAUACAGCAUUGCUACAGCCUGCAGCAUAGGUCACACUGCAGCUGGGAUUUGAUCCCUGGCCUGAGACUUCCAUUUGCCAUGGGAGCAGCCCAAAAAAAAAAAAAAAAAACCCAAAAACCAAAACAAAAAAACCUUGGAGAGAUCUACAAUUUUGCAGAUCUUGCUAUAAAAUAAAGGCUCUCCGGUGGUCCCUUCCAUUGUUGGAAUUGCCCUUACACUUCAAGUGAUCAGACAUUAAGGGCUCUCAAUUUUUAGAACAAAAGGACUGGAUUGCCCCUUUCCAUCAGCCUUCCAAGGGUCCUAAUCAUUGUGCGUUCAGUCCAGUCUACUUAACCAUUUGGUAUCUGUUAAGUUCCUAUACAUCAAGUGAUGUUUGAAAGCAGGUCCUAAAUUUCAAAACUAAGAAAACAGAAUCAUGUUUAUGAAAGAUAUUCAACCAAAAAAUUUUAAUCACUCUUUAGCAAAUUGGACUAGCCCAUUUGUGAACAUUAAAACUUUCAAAAAUUUACUAUAUGUUAAAUUCAAAAUAAUUGGGGGAAAGGGAAGUAUAUAUGAUAAAGCAAGCAUAAUUUACUGUUAAUUUUAAAAUCUACAUAGUGGGUACACAGGUGUUCGCUAUAAAAAUUACUCCACUUUUUGGGGGUAAUUUGGUGCAUGUAGCGCCACUGAUAUCUUAGUUCCCAGACCAGGGAUUGAAUCCGAACCACAGCGGUGAAAGUGCUGAGUCCUUACCACCAGACCACCAGGGAACUCCCUAAAAUCACUUUCUUAUUAUAACAAAAUAUUAACAGAAUUACAGAAAAUUAAGACUGCUUUACUAGUUCAUUCCAACAUUACACAUAAGUUGAAACAUUUGCCAAUAAUUGCAAAAGCUCACUUACAUGUAGCAUAAAGCACAAAUAAGUUAAUCUUUUGAGGUUGUAAACUUUGAAUCUCCUGAAUGUUUUUUCUUUGCACUUUCAACUAGGCUUGUUAGUUGGUUACAACACUUCUAAAACAGAACAUCUCUAGUCAAUGACAAACACCAAAGCCGUAGUAAAUAACAACUGAAAGAUUAGAAAAAGGGUAAUGUAUUUAAGCAUUGGCUUAUUGGGGAAAUGUGACAGCUGACAUUUAAUGUUAAUGUUGAUGUAAAUGCUAACGCUUGAAGAAACUUUAGUUUGGAGAGGAUAAAGAGGUAAGAGGAGACUAUAAAGAUUCCAAAGGGAAUUUAUAAGAACCACCCAUGGUUUGAGAGAAAAGUUAAAGAAAUUAUUUUUACUGGAAUAACUUGAAAUUCAAGCAUCAUACAGAAAUAUGUGUAUACAUCAGAUUCCCAAAAGAGAAGGGGACGGCUGAAGGGCUGGUUAGCACUGAGGUGACCAGGAGAAGGACAAGGCAGUGUGCAACUCUUGGUUGGUUCCUACUCUUUAAAGCCCUUAGCACUGAACUAAUAUCAGUGGAGCUAAUGGAAAGCUGAAAGCACUUAAAAUUAUUCCUUAAGUGUAGUUCCACAUUCCAUGACAUAUAUUCAUAUAAAACCACAUUUUAGUCAAAAUAGAUAGAGUGGACAAAAGUGUGGUCACCAAAACCUCUUUAGAGUAGCAGUUAUAGGAGUUCCCAUUUCCUGUGGUACAGUGGAAAUGAAUCCAACUGGUAAACAUGAGGUUGCAGGUUUGAUCCCUGGCCUUGUUGUGGGUUAAAGAUCUGGUGUUACUGUGAGCUGUGGUGUAGAUCACAAACUUGGCUCAGAUCCUGUGUUGCUGUGGCUAUGGCGUGGGCAGGCAGCUGUAGCUCCGAUUUGACCCCUAGCAUAGGAACCUCCAUAUGCUGCA